This 2561-nucleotide long non-coding RNA is filed under the name Triticum aestivum (bread wheat). RNAcentral describes it as "long non-coding RNA (TAES_LNC003531)". The record is from RNAcentral. Lineage: Eukaryota; Viridiplantae; Streptophyta; Magnoliopsida; Poales; Poaceae.
CCAUUCACACAUUUUUGUAAGAGCCACACCAUAAUUCAAUCACAUUUAAAUUUCUCGCUCUGAUUACGCUACUAUAGAACAAAGGGGACAACUCAUAGGGAUAAUAACAUCGAUAUGACUGUAGGAAAAUAAAUUAACACACAUAGAUAUGACCACGGACAAAGCAAACUUUGGUACAUAAUUUAUCGUAACAUCUUAAUGCUUGUUGCUCUCAAGUGUGAACAAAAGAAAACAUAUGAUCCCUAAAACAUUGUUAACCAUUACUCCACUUCAAGUUCCAGGAUAAGGUUGCUUCUUGCCGAUGACUCCUUGGCCUCUCCUCCAAUUGACAGGAUGCUGAAGCUACACCAUCGCUGAUGGCCCCUUGGCUUCUCUUAUCCGAUUGGCAGGCUGUUGCAGCUACCAACCAAAUACAUCCACACGGGUUUGUAACUUUGUAUGCAGCUCCCACAAGGACCUAGGCACACACAAAUGGCCAGCAUAGUUAGUAUCAAUUAACAGGGGCCAAAAUAAACAGACAUGCCACACACAAAAAGAAUCAAACGAAAUAAGCAGACAUGCCACACACAAAAAGAAUCAAACGACAGUUUAUCACUGGAACAGAGACAUAGAAGAGAGCUGAAAAUACCCCAUGGUUUUGUUGAUGGAGGAUGAUAACAGCAAUCUGGACGCUGCCUGGAUCUCUAGAUGGAGAAUAGCGACAAAAAACACAUGUGAGCAACCAAAAGAAAGAGAACAUGGUAACUAAAAUCAAAAUAAGGGUGCAAACACAAAAACAAUUCAAAUAAAGUAGCAUGGAUCCUAUCUCAGAUAUUUCCCAAGGCAAUCCAUAUUUCAGUAUCCCAAAGAGAAAGAUUAGAAAUGUGUCAUCACAAGUAAAAUCACAAGAAAAUUGCUCAGUGGAUGCAUGGCAGCAUACUACCAGCAAACGUACCCAACAACCUGAGAUUAAUACUCGCAAUUCGAGAGCUUCCAUGAAAGUUGUGAAUUUAUACAAACAGAAAGGUAUAUAGGACUUGAUACUAACUUAGAAUUACAAGAUUCAACCAAUUUUGUAAAGGAAAUGGUAAAGAACCAUGACCUAUCAUCACCUGAGAGUUCUUCCCGUGAGUAGAACAAUGUUCAUGCUUAGCAUGCUUAUUUCAGAAAGCUAUCUUCGCUAGUAGUUGGUAGUAAGUUAAGAACCAAUAGACUGCAUUAAAGAUACUUAAAAAAGGGCACGUGUUAGGUGUUUUGAAUCUUGGAUAAAAAGGGUUGUACGAACAAUAAUAAUGGAGAUAAUCAUCUUUCAUAUACCGGUAGAUUUAGAACACAUACAGUAUAGUGGGAUAGAAAUAUUGAGAGAAACAACAGCAGCAAAUGCAAACUACAUCUAUGACCAUGAGCCAUAGUAGGGAAACCCAUCAGGAAAAUAUAUUAAUGCAGACAUGUAGUUAAUUAACUUAUUUGUAAGGGCCUAUCCUGCAAUUUAAAGGACAUGUAAUGAAGAGAACAUAUGCUGAAAGACUAACCUCAACCAUCGUCAUGGGCUGCGGAAAUAGCUAUUAUAAUCAGCCAAAGGAGCAAGGUGGAGCAAUCGAGCAAAAGGGAGUGAGGUCCACACAUUUGCAGAUGAACCAAUGACCAGAAACUGAAGAACGCAAUAGCAGCAGCACAAAUCUUCUUCAUAAUAAGAAAAGCAAUCUUAAAUCAGACAAGGAUACUGAUAUGCAAAUUUGAGGUAGAAAAAUGUUCAUUUUCCCAGGUAAAAACUCGCAAUUGGUCUGUAAAUACACUGACUAAAUAGAUCUGUAGAUUAAACAUGAGAUCCUACUAACAAACACGAAAUGACAUUCUCUUCUAGGUUCAAAUCAGCAAGGAAGUAGUAACCACCUUAAUUAGAAGGGUCUCCUCAGCCUGAAGCCAUACAAGUAAGGUGGCCCCUGACAAGGAGGAUCUCAUGCUCCAUGGGUCAGUCUGGUAUCCUCCAUUUUUGCAAAACUACUCUGGGCCCUGGGUCUCUUUUGAAAUCUACCACAACAUAUAAUUUCAUGUGCUUGUCCCUGUUCAGUUUCUACACAACAUUACAACAAUUUGUAACGCAGUUUAUAAUUUCUCCACAACAUACAUUUUGUAUAGUAUAGGAAAGUCUACAAAGAAAAAUCACAAUAGCCAAGUGUUCCAGCUCGAAAAGGAGAUAAAAUAAGUCAUGCUAUUCUUGCUGCAAAAACUAUGGCUAGAUAAGUUUUAAAGUUCAAAUUUUAGUUUGUAGAGACAACUUAAGAGGCAAGUUAUUAGCUAUUAUGCAUCAGAACGGAAUCUUGACUAAAUAAUAACUUACAUAAGCUUGACUAAAUAAUAACUUACAUAAGCACUGGACCUGUGAACACUCGCUCUCUGGGACAAAUGCAGGCCAAACUAAACUGAAUAUUCUACAUCAGAACAGAAUCUUGACGACAUAGGUAUGAAAUGGCCAAAAAGUGAACACAAAUAAUGUUUGUAUCUUAGUAUUACUACAAAGGAAAAUGGAGGUACUGAUCAUGUGCAUGCAAACAUACAGUGAGUGUUUUAUUUACAUUCAC